UAUUAAAAAUUUCAUCCAUUUGUACUAUUAAAAAUAAGCACGGUUGACGAAAUAACCAUAUAGUACAUGUGGCGUUCCACAUGUACCUCGUGUUGACAUAUAAAGGCCAGUUUUUAACAAUGAAAAUUGAUAGAAUUUUUAACA
Molecule: non-coding RNA, 144 nt
Organism: Gossypium hirsutum (cotton)
Lineage: Eukaryota; Viridiplantae; Streptophyta; Magnoliopsida; Malvales; Malvaceae
Source: Rfam